Drosophila santomea is the source of this 693-nucleotide long non-coding RNA. RefSeq lists it as uncharacterized. Lineage: Eukaryota; Metazoa; Arthropoda; Insecta; Diptera; Drosophilidae. The record is from RefSeq and is a predicted model, not a curated record. The transcript is spliced from 2 exons.
CAGUCUUUCUAGGGGUUUGUCUAUAUAUAUAUAUAUAUAUAUAUACAUACGAGUAUAUAUGCGUGGUCACAUGUGUGCAUCAAACAGUUUAUGGAGGCAAACAGCAUCGAAAAAAAAGAGAAAGAAAACAAGAAAACCCUACUACCCAAAGACCAAAUCUCCCCAAAAUCCGAAAAUCCAACCAUCCGAAAGCAAGCCACCUCUGUUGAUUUAGCCCUGCAAAAUGUCCUCGGCCCGUAAAUCGCGCACAUCGCUUCAGUUGAUUUCCAUGUCACUGACAAAACACAAUUUGCCAUCGCCUUUUGUGUACAUAGCUAAAUUCUGGAUGAGGCAUUGCAUGCUGCAUGCAGGAUAAAGGAUACACCAUACAUACAGGCCAUACAAGCCAUCCAAGCCAUACAGGACAUACAGGACAUACAGGACACUCAGGACAUUCAGGACAUGCGAGACAUACAACACCGUUUGGGGGUUUCGUUAAAAAGGAUUAAAUGUGGGCUGUUUGUAGAGCCCGAGUGGCCGGCAAAUAACAGGGCCAAGAUGACAUCUAAUCUCGAGGAAUCCAGGGGAUGUUCUUGCAAUUAUUAUUGGCGGGAGUGGAACUGGUCACUGGUUGGGUAUAUUAAAAUAAAAUAUGAGUGGGGGUGCAUUCUGGGGUGAAAGCAUGCUUUUAUCCCCAGACGCAUUCUUAAGGAA